AGAGAGAAAAGGAGCAGCAGGAAGAGAAAACUGGUUUGUUCAGGAACACAGUGAAGAAUGAAGCCAGUGAAAGAAGAGCUAUGAUAACUCCUGCUCUCCGAGAAGCCCUUACUAAACAAGGUUAUCAGUUGAUUGGGAGCCAUUCUGGGGUGAAGCUUUGCAGGUGGACAAAGUCAAUGCUCCGAGGGAGAGGAGGUUGCUAUAAACAUACAUUCUAUGGUAUUGAAAGCCAUCGUUGCAUGGAAACCACCCCGAGCUUAGCAUGUGCAAAUAAAUGUGUCUUCUGUUGGCGGUAAGUUAAAAUUAAUGGCCAUGGUGGCCAAAUAUGUAAU
This is a long non-coding RNA of Myotis lucifugus (little brown bat), 332 nucleotides long. RefSeq lists it as uncharacterized. NCBI's taxonomy places the organism in Eukaryota, Metazoa, Chordata, Mammalia, Chiroptera, Vespertilionidae. The transcript has 3 exons. The record is from RefSeq and is a predicted model, not a curated record.